This 850-nucleotide long non-coding RNA is filed under the name Cyanistes caeruleus (blue tit). RNAcentral describes it as "lncRNA (ENSCCEG00000008479.1)". Lineage: Eukaryota; Metazoa; Chordata; Aves; Passeriformes; Paridae. The record is from RNAcentral.
GUUUAAGGACCACAUUUCAUCCUCUCUAAUGUAAGAUGAGGUAUUUGUAGUACAGCAUCCUGAAAUCUAAGCAAAGAAGCUCCAGAAGUUGGCAUUAUUUCCUCUUAAUCAGUAUGAAAUAAUUCUAGCUUUGCUAUGAAAAUGAAACAACCCUAGUCAUAGGAGAUACAUCAUGACACAGAAAAAUUAGAAAACACUGUGAGCUCUGCACAGCAAGAUUUGUAAGCCUGCCAGCAGAAUCACAAACUCGCACGGCUCUAAUUUGUCUAGGAAAAAGGGGUGUUUAAUUGCUGUGCAUAAUAAACACACAAACAUCAGAAAGCAGCCCCAGAUAACAUGCACAAGUAGUUUCCAGCUGUACUGCUAAGGAAACCUAAAAGUGAUUUAUUUUAUACCUUGAUCUUAAGUCCAAUAAAUCAGAUUAAAAUCAAAUGGCCACAUUUCCCUAAGUGCUGAGCACUCAGUCUGGCUGGCCUGGCCACCCAGCUCUUUUGGAAGCACACUGAUUUGGGUUAGGAGUCUGCAGGGUACGGUGCCAUGAGCAGUGCCUGAGCUUCCAGGGGCUCCUCAAACAGUCACUGCUCACUUGUUCAAUUAGCCCACACCAAGCCAAGCUCCUGAACUCCCUUGCUGAGAGCUAACUCUGGUCAGUCUCAUCUCUGCUCUCUGUGCAAAUCCCCUAAGCAUCCACUGGCUGCUUCCUAAAGCCUCCCAGGUUGUGUGGCCUGAUGAGAUCCUCCAGAGACCAGCCCUUGGAAGCUGUUGGGGAAAUACAAGGGAACUGCACUGCUGGAAAAGGGACUGGACUGCUGGAAAGGAAACUGGACUGAUGGAAAAGGAACUGGACUGA